GGGUCGAUGCCCGAGUGGUUAAUGGGGACGGA
This 32-nucleotide transfer RNA is filed under the name Pseudoroegneria spicata. Its description in RNAcentral is "partial tRNA-Tyr". The record is from RNAcentral. Lineage: Eukaryota; Viridiplantae; Streptophyta; Magnoliopsida; Poales; Poaceae.